Molecule: transfer RNA, 90 nt
Filed under: Xibalbanus tulumensis
Lineage: Eukaryota; Metazoa; Arthropoda; Remipedia; Nectiopoda; Speleonectidae
Description: tRNA-Arg
Source: RNAcentral
UAUAACUUUGAAAACAGUAUGGAAGCAUAAUUUUAAAGCGUAUUAGUUUCGGCCUAAUAAAUCUGGAAAAGUAAUAAACUCCCCAUUCUA